UACAGAGGUCUCAAGCGUUGUUCGGAUUCAUUGGGCGUAAAGGGUGCGUAGGUGGUGGGGUAAGUCGGAUGUGAAAUCCCGGGGCUCAACCCCGGAACUGCAUUCGAUACUGCCUUGCUCGAGUACUGGAGAGGAGACUGGAAUUUACGGUGUAGCAGUGAAAUGCGUAGAUAUCGUAAGGAAGACCAGUGGCGAAGGCGAGUCUCUGGACAGUUACUGACACUGAGGCACGAAGGCCAGGGGAGCAAACAGG
RNAcentral lists this ribosomal RNA (253 nucleotides) under uncultured bacterium. Its description in RNAcentral is "partial 16S ribosomal RNA". It matches the Rfam family "Bacterial small subunit ribosomal RNA", at positions 524 to 776 of the family's 1533-position model. The record is from RNAcentral.